UACAGAGGGGGCAAGCGUUGUCCGGACUGACUGGGCGUAAAGCGCACGCAGGCGGUUGUGGGCGUCGGUGCUGAAAGUCCACUGCUUAACAGUGGGAUGCGUGCCGAUACGCCAUAACUGGAGCGAUGCAGAGGCAAGUGGAAUUCCCGGUGUAGUGGUGAAAUGCGUAGAUAUCGGGAGGAACACCAGUGGCGAAGGCGACUUCCUGGCCUGUUCUUGACGCUGAGGCGCGAAAGCUAGGGUAGCAAACGGG
Molecule: ribosomal RNA, 253 nt
Filed under: uncultured bacterium
Lineage: Bacteria
Description: partial 16S ribosomal RNA
Rfam family: Bacterial small subunit ribosomal RNA
Source: RNAcentral